GACGAACACUGGCGGCGUGCUUAACACAUGCAAGUCGAACGAUGAAGCACCAGCUUGCUGGUGUGGAUUAGUGGCGAACGGGUGAGUAACACGUGAGUAACCUGCCCCUCACUCUGGGAUAAGCCUGGGAAACUGGGUCUAAUACUGGAUACGACCGAUCUCCGCAUGGAGUGUUGGUGGAAAGUUUUUGUGGUGGGGGAUGGACUCGCGGCCUAUCAGCUUGUUGGUGGGGUAGUGGCCUACCAAGGCGACGACGGGUAGCCGGCCUGAGAGGGCGACCGGCCACACUGGGACUGAGACACGGCCCAGACUCCUACGGGAGGCAGCAGUGGGGAAUAUUGCACAAUGGGCGAAAGCCUGAUGCAGCGACGCCGCGUGAGGGAUGACGGCCUUCGGGUUGUAAACCUCUUUCACCAGGGACGAAGCUAACGUGACGGUACCUGGAGAAGAAGCACCGGCUAACUACGUG
This 469-nucleotide ribosomal RNA is filed under the name uncultured bacterium. Its description in RNAcentral is "partial 16S ribosomal RNA". It matches the Rfam family "Bacterial small subunit ribosomal RNA", at positions 28 to 507 of the family's 1533-position model. The record is from RNAcentral.